This is a long non-coding RNA of Pangasianodon hypophthalmus (striped catfish), 1373 nucleotides long. RefSeq lists it as uncharacterized. NCBI's taxonomy places the organism in Eukaryota, Metazoa, Chordata, Actinopteri, Siluriformes, Pangasiidae. The record is from RefSeq and is a predicted model, not a curated record. The transcript has 4 exons.
UUUUUUCCCCCCCUUUUUUGCUGAUUAGAAAACCACGUCUGGCAUCACUUCCAUCUUUACAUAUACUUUGACUUUUCUAUGUAAACGGUUGUGCCGUCAUGCCAGAUUUCUGUGGUCAAAGUGAAGUUGCAGAUGAAGUUACAACCCACAACCGUUAACAAUUUGCACAACGCUUUUUCCCCCCUCAUGAUAUACACAGUAGGAAGGAAAGGUUUCACUUUUACUGUGAGAAGGUAAGGUAUAUGUGGGAUUUCAUGGUGAAGUACUGACACUGAAGCCUUAAAGCGGUUAGGCUUUGUAGAAUAGCACAUAAAGUACAUACAGAAAGUAUUACAUACAGUAUUCACACUGCUCGAGUUUCUUACUUUUGUUACUUUACAGUCUUAGUGUAAAAAGGCUUGGUAUAAGCAGAAGCACCCUUUGAAAUUUUACAUCGCCUAAGUGGAAAGAAAUGACAUAAAUAUAAAAGAAAUCUUCUACUGCUAGUUUUUGAUGGACUGUUACAGUUUAUAAUGGUAAAUAAUUAUACGUAAUUGUGAGGGAAGUACUGAUGUUUGACAUUACCUCUGAGCAUGUUAAUGUGUCUUUUGCUUUUCUUCUCCAGGAAAAAAAAAAAAGAGAAAAAUGAAUAAAAUGACACAAAGACGUUGAAAAUUUGCAAAGUUGCAGAUUAGUAGAACAUUCCACAUUAAAAGAAAUGCUUAAGGGGAAAAAAAAAAACCCACAUUCUUCCUGUUGUUCUGAGGCUUUUCAGCAGGGGCGGGUACGUGACACUUCUCAACCACUUCUCAGCAAGACAGCAAAUUCAUCAUACUUCAAAUAGGACAGCAAAUUCACAGGACGACCUUUUUAUUUUUAUACUUCUUCAAGGAAUUACCCUACAAUGAUGUUUAAAUUAAUUUUUAAGACUUUCAAAUUAGUAUUCCUAGCUCCACACGGGGAAAAAACAGAAAUCUUCAGGUUUUUCCGAAAAAGGUUAAGAUUUUAACAAGCUUCAGCAGUUGAUCAGGAAUUAACUCAGGAAUUAACUCAGGAGCUCAGGAAUUAACUUAAAUUCAUGAGAAUCUGCUGUGGCAAGAAACUGGAAGCCAGGAUGAUUUCCGUGAGCUGGGUUGUCUACUUUCACACCACCAACCUUUGUGCUCUACUUCAGCUGAAAAGGAACAGCUUCCUGUUCAGUGUGUAGACGACCCAAUGGAGUUAAAUGCUGUGAUCAUUUAUGGAGAUCAGGAAUUCCCUAUGCCAAGGCUGCUGCAAGCAGAAGAUAAACGUGAAGGCAAUGAUGGAGAAGACACCUCCAUUUAACAGAAUGCAAACUGUUACAACACAACACUGCUACAGCAUGUAAUAAAGCACAUCAGCUCUUAAUCAUA